This is a long non-coding RNA of Thamnophis elegans (Western terrestrial garter snake), 1127 nucleotides long. RefSeq lists it as uncharacterized. The transcript is spliced from 2 exons. Lineage: Eukaryota; Metazoa; Chordata; Lepidosauria; Squamata; Natricidae. The record is from RefSeq and is a predicted model, not a curated record.
CACCUUGAAUUAUUUAUAAAAAUAAUAAAAGUGGGAUACAAAUAAAUAAAUAUAAAUAGAUAAAAUGGAAUUUACUUGCUGAAUCUUCAAUGCCUCUGCAACAGACAGAGUCAGGCCAGUGUUUCUCAACCUUGACCUCUUGAAGAUGGGUGGACUUCAAUUCCCAGAAUUCCCCAGCCAACUUUGAAGUCCACCCAUCUUCUAGAGGUCAAGGUCAAGUAACAGAUUACCAAUCUGCUGGUUUGCAUUGUGGUGGUGAGCUCUUUGUAUUUUCUCUCUAGGGGAUUUAAAUCUUUCUACUCCUCCUCCUAGUAACAGAAAUAGCAUCUGUACAGAUGAUGAAAAUAUGUAUUUAACUAUGAGUCACCUUUCUGUUCUGUGGCACCAACAAUGAUCCUUCAUUUAUGCAGGUUUACUAAAACGGAUAUUUGUUUGGAAAUACAUGAAAUUCAAAUGCUAACAAGGACUGACGAAUACAAACAUCGUCGAGAUUGCUUUUCUGAUUAAAUGGCUUCUUUCCAUUUUGCAGUCUGAAAGUGCUUGUCCAGGAAGCGAUGAAGACAAAAGGAAGGUGGUAGCUUUUCUUUUUAGUGACGCAAAUUUUGUGACACACACACACACGGGAAUCAUAAAUGAUUUAAUGGGUUUUUUUGAGGAAGUACACACACCAUUCAUUUUAAUUAAUAUGCAGUAUUUUCCCUAGCUCUUAUUUAUCUACACAUCCUCCACAGUCCAGUUACCUUUUGAAGAAAAAAACACCUUUGAGACUGAGACAGUCUUUGUGCAUCUGCACUGAUUUGUGUUAAUAAAUGUUUUUUUUUUUAAUAAAGAGGAAUAGCUUUGAAAUAAAUUGAGAUUAAUGGGCAGGAUGAUAGGCUUGUAUAGUGUUGCAGUGGAUUUCCCCUGGAGGCUCAAGAUGUGUGAUUCACUUGGGAUCAAUUUACUGCAGGCAUGUAAUAGUUUCAGUGGUUUUCCACUGCUGAAAAUAGCCCCCUUUCCAAGCUUUUAUGUUAAUAAACAAGCAGGAAGAGGAACCCCUUUGCACAUAUCACCAAUUAGGCACUAGGUGAUGCCAAUAAAAUCACACCAGUGUAUCUCAAGUGCUCUCCAGCCAGCCUUGAAUUAUC